CUACGGGCAUCCAAAUAUAUCACCCUCAAAAACAAAUCGACGGGAUUACUAACUAUUGUGGAAGAAAUAACGGUGGAUGUUCUUAUCUGUGCGUAGCUUCCCCUAAAAGGGGCGAUAAAUCUGUUAAAUAUUCGUGUCUCUGUCCAACAAACUCGUUCUUAAUGCAAGAUGGGCGUACAUGCGAGGGUUCAACAAGGAAUCCACCGACUCCACCUCCUGCAACAAUAGAUUUGAGUCCGUGCCAUCCGAACCCAUGUGUGAAUGGUGUCUGCAUAUAUAACAUUUUCACAAAACUUUUCUACGGAGGAUACUUGUGUAAGUGUGACAGUGGAUACUCUGGCAAGCAUUGUGAGUAAAGGUACGUCUUUAGGUUUACCUA
This is a long non-coding RNA of Anneissia japonica, 379 nucleotides long. RefSeq lists it as uncharacterized. The record is from RefSeq and is a predicted model, not a curated record. The transcript is spliced from 3 exons. Lineage: Eukaryota; Metazoa; Echinodermata; Crinoidea; Comatulida; Comatulidae.